Molecule: ribosomal RNA, 482 nt
Filed under: uncultured bacterium
Lineage: Bacteria
Description: partial 16S ribosomal RNA
Rfam family: Bacterial small subunit ribosomal RNA
Source: RNAcentral
AUUGAACGCUGGCGGCAUGCUUUACACAUGCAAGUCGAACGGUAACAGGCCGCAAGGUGCUGACGAGUGGCGAACGGGUGCGUAAUGCAUCGGAACGUGCCCAGUCGUGGGGGAUAACUACUCGAAAGAGUAGCUAAUACCGCAUACGAUCUAUGGAUGAAAGCGGGGGACCGUAAGGCCUCGCGCGAUUGGAGCGGCCGAUGUCAGAUUAGGUAGUUGGUGGGGUAAAGGCUCACCAAGCCAACGAUCUGUAGCUGGUCUGAGAGGACAACCAGCCACACUGGGACUGAGACACGGCCCAGACUCCUACGGGAGGCAGCAGUGGGGAAUUUUGGACAAUGGGCGCAAGCCCGAUCCAGCAAUGCCGCGUGCAGGAAGAAGGCCUUCGGGUUGUAAACUGCUUUUGUACGGAACGAAACGGCUCUGGUUAAUACCCGGGGCUAAUGACGGUACCGUAAGAAUAAGCACCGGCUAACUACGUG